GACGAACGCUGGCGGCGUGCUUAACACAUGCAAGUCGAACGUGAAUUUUAUGGAAUAGCCUUCGGGAUAGGAAAUAGAAUGAAAGUGGCGAACGGGUGAGUAACACGUGAGCAACCUACCUUACACAGGGGGAUAGCCGUUGGAAACGACGAUUAAUACCGCAUGAGACCACAGAACCGCAUGGUAAAGGGGUCAAAGAUUUAUCGGUGUAAGAUGGGCUCGCGUCUGAUUAGCUAGUUGGAAGGGUAAAGGCCUACCAAGGCGACGAUCAGUAGCCGGUCUGAGAGGAUGAUCCGCCACACUGGAACUGGAACACGGACCAGACACCUACGGGUGGCAG
Molecule: ribosomal RNA, 340 nt
Filed under: uncultured Bacillota bacterium
Lineage: Bacteria; Bacillati; Bacillota
Description: bacterial SSU rRNA
Rfam family: Bacterial small subunit ribosomal RNA
Source: RNAcentral